AGUGAACGCUGGCGGCGUGCUUAACACAUGCAAGUCGAACGAGAACGGGUAUUAGUUUACUAAUACUGUCAGCUAAGUGGCGCACGGGUGAGUAAUAUAUAGGUAACGUGCCCUAGAGAAAGGAAUAACAGUUGGAAACGACUGCUAAUGCCCUAUAUGCCUUUAUGACAUAAGUCAGCAAGGGAAAUGCUUUUGUGCUCGAGGAUGGGACUGUAUGGUAUCAGAUAGUUGGUGGGGUAAUGGCCUACCAAGUCAAUGACGCCUAACUGGUUUGAGAGGAUGAUCAGUCACACUGGAACUGAGACACGGUCCAG
Molecule: ribosomal RNA, 314 nt
Filed under: uncultured Arcobacter sp.
Lineage: Bacteria; Pseudomonadati; Campylobacterota; Epsilonproteobacteria; Campylobacterales; Arcobacteraceae
Description: bacterial SSU rRNA
Rfam family: Bacterial small subunit ribosomal RNA
Source: RNAcentral